GAUGAAGAACGUAGUGAAAUGCGAUAAGUAAUGUGAAUUGCAGAAUUCAGUGAAUCAUCGAAUCUUUGAACGCACCUUGCGCUCCUUGGUAUUCCGAGGAGCAUGCCUGUUUGAGUGUCAUUAAUAUAUCAACCUUCUCUUUUUUGAGUUGUUUGGAUGUGGGGGUUUGCUGGCCUCUUAAAUGAUUCAGCUCCCCUGAAAUGCAUUAGCAGAACAACCUGUUCAUUAGCGUGAUAAUUAUCUAUGCUAUUGAAUGUGAGGGCAGUUCAGCUUUCUAACCGUCCUUGGACAAUUCAUCAUUAAUGUGACCUCAAAUCAGGAAGGACUACCCGCUGAACUUAAGCAUAUCAAUAAGCGGAGGA
Molecule: unclassified non-coding RNA, 362 nt
Filed under: soil metagenome
Description: partial contains 5.8S ribosomal RNA, internal transcribed spacer 2, and large subunit ribosomal RNA
Rfam family: 5.8S ribosomal RNA (bases 1-120)
Source: RNAcentral